Molecule: ribosomal RNA, 653 nt
Filed under: Parnassia faberi
Lineage: Eukaryota; Viridiplantae; Streptophyta; Magnoliopsida; Celastrales; Celastraceae
Description: eukaryotic LSU rRNA
Rfam family: 5.8S ribosomal RNA (bases 251-406)
Source: RNAcentral
AGGAUCAUUGUCGAAAUCUGCAAAGCAGAAUGACUUGCGAACAAGUGAAAAUCAUGGUUUGUAAGGCACCACGGUCGCCUUUCCAACCGAUCAUUGGAGGCGGUUCCCGUCCCUCCCAUAUGGUCAAAAUCAACAAUACCUCAGCGCGGAAUGCGCCAAGGAAAACAAACAGAAGGUACGCCUACACCUCUUGCACCGUAAAUGGUUGUGUGGUGUGGCUUGCGUAUUUCGCUCAAUCUAAUGUUACAACGACUCUCGGCAACGGAUAUCUUGGCUCUCGCAUCGAUGAAGAACGUAGCAAAAUGCGAUAGCUGGUGUGAAUUGCAGAAUCCCGUGAACCAUCGAGUCUUUGAACGCAAGUUGCGCCUGAAGCCGUCAGGCCAAGGGCACGCCUGCCUGGGUGUCACCCUCCCCCUUGCCCAAGUAACACGCCUCCUCCCACCGAAAAUUGGGAAGGGGGUGCGAUGGGCGGAUAAAUGGCCUCCCAUGGUGCGCAAUUCGUGGUUGGCCCAAAAUUAGCACUUUGGCUUAGGAAGCCACGACAAGCAUUGGCGAAAAACUCCGGUGAUUCCUUGAUCGUUGUUGUCGUGCUAGACUUUGUAGCGUGCUAUAAAAUACCCUCGGUGCUUGCAUUCUAAGAUUUGCGACCCCAG